GGGUCAGUAGGUUGGUCGUGCCACCGGUACGUACUGGUCUCACUGAUUCCUCCUUCCUGAAGAACCGUAAUGCCAUUAAUUUGGUGUUGCGGGGAAACAGGACUGUUACUUUGAAAAAAUUAGAGUGUUUAAAGCAAGCUAACGCUUGAAUACAUUAGCAUGGAAUAAGGAAAUAGGACGAUCGAUCCUAUUUUGUUGGCUUCUAGGAUUGACGUA
Molecule: ribosomal RNA, 216 nt
Filed under: Glomeromycotina sp.
Lineage: Eukaryota; Fungi; Glomeromycota
Description: partial small subunit ribosomal RNA
Rfam family: Eukaryotic small subunit ribosomal RNA (bases 40-216)
Source: RNAcentral